AGAUGGCUCUGGGGAAAUUCCAUUCCAUAAUUCAUUUAAGCAGGAUAAACAGAGCUCCUGCUCUGGAAGAUCCAGCCCUGAGCAAAAGGCACUUGGAAUCGACAUGGGGGGCUCGAAUGUCCCUGUGAAACAUAAACAUAAGGAGGCAGGAGACAUGAGAUGCAGCCGGCUCUGACCCCAAAGAGCCAUGGGACCUGACCACCUGGGAGGAGCUGGAGGACAAAGGACUUCACAGAAGAAUGGAGUCCCAAAGAAACAGCUUCAGGAACUGAGGAGAGCCAGAAAUUUAAUGUAUUUAGGGCUCCCUUGUGAAAACACAAAAACAAAAAUAAAAAUGCCUCCCGCUGCCUCGACAUCUCUAUUCCACUGAUGCCCGACCAUUCUUUUGAAAAACAAACGGAAAAAGUGAAGUGUUGAUGACAGUCACUGGGGGGUUAGAGUAAGGCCCUGUUGUGGAAGAGGCCUGCUGUUUCACAAAAGACGAGCUUUGUCUUGACUGACAUGUCCUU
Molecule: long non-coding RNA, 509 nt
Filed under: Homo sapiens (human)
Lineage: Eukaryota; Metazoa; Chordata; Mammalia; Primates; Hominidae
Description: non-protein coding lnc-FOXD1-3:7
Source: RNAcentral